This 301-nucleotide ribosomal RNA is filed under the name uncultured bacterium. RNAcentral describes it as "partial 16S ribosomal RNA". It matches the Rfam family "Bacterial small subunit ribosomal RNA", at positions 509 to 807 of the family's 1533-position model. The record is from RNAcentral.
CAGUCGCCACGGUAAUACCGAGGAUGCAAGCGUUAUCCGGAAUGAUUGGGCGUAAAGCGUCUGUAGGUGGCUUUUCAAGUCCGCCGUCAAAUCCCAGGGCUCAACCCUGGACAGGCGGUGGAAACUACCAAGCUGGAGUACGGUAGGGGCAGAGGGAAUUUCCGGUGGAGCAGUGAAAUGCGUUGAGAUCGGAAGGAACGCCCGUGGCGAAAUCGAGCUCCUGGACGUUUUCUGACGCUGAGACGCGAAAGCCAGGGGAGCGAACGGGAUUAGAUACCCCUGUAGUCCCUGUCUCUUAUAC